UUAUGGUUUCAUUGUUAAGAUCUUUUGUGUGAUGUCAUCACUCCUUCAAGAAGACUGUUGUGGCACAGGAUGGAGGUGUGCGGUGAUGGUGUAGGUCCACGGAGGAAAAUAAAGUGGAUAAACGGCUCAGUUUGACUCCAGAACUCUCUCUCACUGCGCGAGCUUGUCUAGCUAAUUAGAAUUAACAGCAUUAACCAGGAACCGCUCCUCUCAACCAAUGGCGUCCUUCUACAGCUCAUGAUUAUUCAUAAGGCGGGGCUCGGCGCGCCAGCUCACUGGUGGAGGCUGACGGGAGGGCGGUGCCCACCGGACCUACCGCGCGGGGUGGUGCGGAACCGCGGAGUGUGUCUUGCGUAGGGCGAGAUGUUGUUUUUUUGUGGCGAUCAGCUGAACGUGGCAUCGCUGUCCGGUCUGACACAACAGUGGGAAGCACAACCAGCCCCUCCGGUCCUCCCUGCACAGAAACCCGGGCGCACAGCAGCUGAUCCCGGCGCAUCACAAUCCAGGAAAUGCGGACUUCUGGCCCCUUCGCAACGGGAUAAAUGGCUGCAGCGCCAGCACUGUAGCAAGCUGGUUUGCCUCGAGCCAACACUUUUUAGUUCGCACCACGACUAAGAGAGCAAAUAUAAAGCAGCCAAGUGUGAACGGCGGGUACGGUGGGCUGCGUGGGAGACUGUGCACUGUGAUCUUGACAUCCACGCAUCACUGAAACUUGUGAGCGCAGGGAGGACAGCUUUUGAAAAUGCCUAGCCCGAGUUCUGCGUAAUGCGGGGGCUUGCUUGAAUGGAUGCCACUCUGGAAUUCAUUUACAGAUGCGGCACAGUGGCACUCUGGCUGGAACUGGAAGGUUUACGUAAACGAGACACGUCCAUGUCAGCAAAAGAUUUGUCACUUAGGAACGAAG
This is a long non-coding RNA of Oreochromis aureus, 904 nucleotides long. The record is from Ensembl. Lineage: Eukaryota; Metazoa; Chordata; Actinopteri; Cichliformes; Cichlidae.